GUAUGGUCCGCCCGUCGGAUUCAGUCCGCCUGUGCGGCGUCGGCGUCGGUCGCGCAUCCCUCGUGGGAGCGCGUCGGCGUCCGUUCGUCGUGCGGCGGCCGUACUUUCGGCGGGCGGAGCGCCACGACCGGUUCGUCGGCGGCGAGAAACUCUCGGGCAAGGUGACCUUCGUCUCGGCGCAGGAGCAUACAGGCCCGGUGAGCGUCGGCCCGUCGGCGGACCGAGGAAGACCGUCGCGGAGCGGCGUCGACCGCGCGUCGUGUGGUUGCGUUCGACUCGGGGGGACUGGUUCCAGUGCCCUCGGACCGCGCGGCCGCARCGGCGGGACGGAACGGCGUCGCGCCUGGGGUCGGUGGCGAAACGGCCGGCAACCUGUCCGACCCGUCUUGAAACACGGACCAAGGAGUCUAACAUGUGCGCGAGUCGUUGGGCGUUACGAAACCCGAAGGCGCAAUGAAAGUGAAGGCCCGGUCUCCGACCGGCCUGGGUGGGAUCCGGGCGGCUUCGGCCGUCCGGCGCACCACCGGCCCGUCUCGUUCGCCUCGUCGAAGAGGCGGAGCAAGAGCGUACACGUUGGGACCCGAAAGAUGGUGAACUAUGCCCGAGUAGGACGAAGCCAGAGGAAACUCUGGUGGAGGUCCGCAGCGAUUCUGACGUGCAAAUCGAUCGUCAAACUUGGGUAUAGGGGCGAAAGACUAAUCGAACCAUCUAGUAGCUGGUUCCUGUCGAAGUUUCCCUCAGGAUAGCUGGCGCUCGUCAAGAGCAGUUUUAUCCGGUAAAGCGAAUGACUGGAGGCCUUGGGGACGAAACGUCCUCAACCUACUCUCAAACUUUAAAUGGGUAAGACGUCCGACUCGCUCGAUUGGAGCC
Molecule: ribosomal RNA, 870 nt
Filed under: Eisenoides lonnbergi
Lineage: Eukaryota; Metazoa; Annelida; Clitellata; Crassiclitellata; Lumbricidae
Description: eukaryotic LSU rRNA
Rfam family: Eukaryotic large subunit ribosomal RNA (bases 296-870)
Source: RNAcentral